GACGAACGCUGGCGGCGUGCUUAACACAUGCAAGUCGAACGGAAAGGCCCUGCUUUUGUGGGGUGCUCGAGUGGCGCACGGGUGAGUAACACGUGAGUAACCUGCCCUUGACUUUGGGAUAACUUCAGGAAACUGGGGCUAAUACCGGAUAGGAGCUCCUGCUGCAUGGUGGGGGGUGGAAAGUUUCGGCGGUUGGGGAUGGACUCGCGGCUUAUCAGCUUGUUGGUGGGGUAGUGGCUUACCAAGGCUUUGACGGGUAGCCGGCCUGAGAGGGUGACCGGCCACAUUGGGACUGAGAUACGGCCCAGACUCCUACGGGAGGCAGCAGUGGGGAAUAUUGCACAAUGGGCGGAAGCCUGAUGCAGCAACGCCGCGUGCGGGAUGACGGCCUUCGGGUUGUAAACCGCUUUCGCCUGUGACGAAGCGUGAGUGACGGUAAUGGGUAAAGAAGCACCGGCUAACUACGUG
Molecule: ribosomal RNA, 468 nt
Filed under: uncultured bacterium
Lineage: Bacteria
Description: partial 16S ribosomal RNA
Rfam family: Bacterial small subunit ribosomal RNA
Source: RNAcentral